Molecule: long non-coding RNA, 668 nt
Filed under: Brassica napus (rape)
Lineage: Eukaryota; Viridiplantae; Streptophyta; Magnoliopsida; Brassicales; Brassicaceae
Description: long non-coding RNA (BNAP_LNC011373)
Source: RNAcentral
AGUGAAUUUGUGGGUCAGGUUCGUUCGUAUAUCAGGUCCUAGCGUGUUUAGUCGCAUGCCGCUUUAUUGACGUUUCUAGUCGCUUAGAGUAGUACUUCUUCAUGAUCUGCUUUGCUCGCCGAGGUUUUUGUCACGGAGGCACGUUUUACUCGGUAGGCGAAUUACUUCGAUAUAAGAGCUCAAGCUUAUCUCAUCGGUUUUCGUUAGAAAACCGGUUUAGACCGAAAUCAGGGAUUAAUUUCGGUUUGGCAUCUCGAUUAGAGAUCGGUUUGAACGAGAAACCGAACCGUCGCGAGUAAGCCUUUGGGUAUUUAGGCGGCCUUUGAGGCCCAUUUAGGUUUCUUUAGACCUAAUGAUUGCGCUUCGGAGGAUGUGCCCUUGUUUUUGCUAUAAAUAGGCUCCUCCCUUUGGCUUUCGUCAUUCUUCUCUGCAAGUUCAGGUAUUCCGGUUUCUCUCCCUUCUCUCUACUUUUACUUUCUCUCUCUAGGUACGUUUCUCUUCACACAAGCUUGUCGGUAUCGUCUGGCGGUUGUAGUCGUCCCCUAAAUCCAGGAUCAUGCCUCUGAGAGGUCGUUUGUCGCGAGAAGAAAAAGGGAAGGGCGUCACAGAUUCUCCGAGUCCGACCAGAGAUGAACGGGCAGCUGACAGCCCGCUGGAUGAUUUCGACU